Molecule: non-coding RNA, 582 nt
Organism: Pimephales promelas (fathead minnow)
Lineage: Eukaryota; Metazoa; Chordata; Actinopteri; Cypriniformes; Leuciscidae
Source: RefSeq, a predicted model, not a curated record
AAAGAUGAGGACGUGCUUCCCAUCUAUCGCUCCUAUGCAGUUAGGAAAAUUCCACCUAGAUGAAAAUCUUGAGGCAAUAUUUCUCCACUCCUGCUCAGUUGGUCUUGCUAGGUGUGUCUCCAUCAUCCGCCUGUUGAUAGCUGCACAUGUGUCCUUGAUGGAUUUAGCCACUGUGCUCUCCCCCAUUCGGUAGUUAAAGGCAAUCGUUCUUACUGAAUUUCCUGUGGCCAGAUAUCUGUAAAACAUAAACAUUAAUAUAAACAUUAAUUUCUCCCUCUUCACAGAAAAUGAGUGCAGAAUGAGAUGGAAGUCCCUGAGAGACAACUACAUCAAGUGGAAGAAAAGACAACCGUUGCCAAGUGGCUCUGGAGCAGUGCGUCAACAGGAGUGGAAAUAUGCUGCUGCAAUUUCCUUCCUAGAUAUCUUCUUGCAAAAUAGAAGUAACGUUGACUUCGACAACCAUAUGGAUGGGUCGACCCAUGAGGGUGAUUUGGAAACACAAAUGACUCCAGAAGAGGAAAGCCCAGUACCAGAGACAACAGGGACCGAAAGUGAAGUUUCAGGAUGGCCACAGAGACCCAA